Molecule: ribosomal RNA, 464 nt
Filed under: uncultured bacterium
Lineage: Bacteria
Description: bacterial SSU rRNA
Rfam family: Bacterial small subunit ribosomal RNA
Source: RNAcentral
GACGAACGCUGGCGGCGUGCUUAAAACAUGCAAGUCGAACGGACUUCUCAUGAAGCUUGCGAUUGAGAAGUUAGUGGCGGACGGGUGAGUAACGCGUGGGCAACCUGCCCCUGAGCCCGGGAUAACAGUUCGAAAGGACUGCUAAGACCGGAUAUACUUGCGGGGAAGCAUUUCACUGCAAGGAAGGGAACGCUCAGGGAUGGGCCCGCGUCCCAUUAGCUAGUUGGUGAGGUAACGGCCCACCAAGGCGACGAUGGGUAGCCGGCCUGAGAGGGUGAACGGCCACACUGGGACUGAGACACGGCCCAGACUCCUACGGGAGGCAGCAGUUGGGAAUCUUCGGCAAUGGGCGCAAGCCUGACCGAGCAACGCCGCGUGAGUGAUGAAGGUUUUCGGAUUGUAAAGCUCUGUCUUCCGGGACGAUAAUGACGGUACCGGAGGAGGAAGCCACGGCUAACUACGUG